RNAcentral lists this ribosomal RNA (497 nucleotides) under uncultured bacterium. Its description in RNAcentral is "partial 16S ribosomal RNA". It matches the Rfam family "Bacterial small subunit ribosomal RNA", at positions 28 to 507 of the family's 1533-position model. The record is from RNAcentral.
GACGAACGCUGGCGGCGUGCCUAAUACAUGCAAGUUGAGCGCUGAAGGUUGGUACUUGUACCAACUGGAUGAGCAGCGAACGGGUGAGUAACGCGUGGGGAAUCUGCCUUUGAGCGGGGGACAACAUUUGGAAACGAAUGCUAAUACCGCAUAAAAACUUUAAACACAAGUUUUAAGUUUGAAAGAUGCAAUUGCAUCACUCAAAGAUGAUCCCGCGUUGUAUUAGCUAGUUGGUGAGGUAAAGGCCCACCAAGGCGAUGAUACAUAGCCGACCUGAGAGGGUGCUCGGCCACAUUGGGACUGAGACACGGCCCAAACUCCUACGGGAGGCAGCAGUAGGGAAUCUUCGGCAAUGGACGAAAGUCUGACCGAGCAACGCCGCGUGAGUGAAGAAGGUUUUCGGAUCGUAAAACUCUGUUGGUAGAGAAGAACGUUGGUGAGAGUGGAAAGCUCAUCAAGUGACGGUAACUACCCAGAAAGGGACGGCUAACUACGUG